UGAGGAAUAUUGGUCAAUGGGCGUAAGCCUGACCCAGCCAUCCCGCGUGAAGGAAGAAGGCGCUAUGCGUCGUAAACUUCUUUUCCAGAGGAAGAAAACCCCGACAAGUCGGGGCUUGCCGGUACUCUGGGAAUAAGCAUCGGCUAACUCCGUGCCAGCAGCCGCGGUAAUACGGAGGAUGCAAGCGUUGUCCGGAAUCACUGGGCUUAAAGCGCGUGUAGGCGGCUUAGAAAGUGUCGUGUGAAAUCCCGCGGCUCAACCGCUGAACUGCACGGCAAACUACUUGGCUUGAGGUCGGUAGAGGUGCCUCGAACUCUAGGUGGAGCGGUGAAAUGCGUAGAUAUCUAGAGGAACGGCAGAAGCGAAAGGGGGGAACUGGGCAGCUUCUGACGCUGAGACGCGGAAGCGUGGGGAGCAAACA
Molecule: ribosomal RNA, 421 nt
Filed under: uncultured prokaryote
Description: bacterial SSU rRNA
Rfam family: Bacterial small subunit ribosomal RNA
Source: RNAcentral